RNAcentral lists this ribosomal RNA (497 nucleotides) under uncultured bacterium. Its description in RNAcentral is "partial 16S ribosomal RNA". It matches the Rfam family "Bacterial small subunit ribosomal RNA", at positions 28 to 507 of the family's 1533-position model. The record is from RNAcentral.
GAUGAACGCUGGCGGCGUGCCUAAUACAUGCAAGUCGAGCGAACAGAUGAGGAGCUUGCUCCUCUGACGUUAGCGGCGGACGGGUGAGUAACACGUGGAUAACCUACCUAUAAGACUGGGAUAACUUCGGGAAACCGGAGCUAAUACCGGAUAAUAUAUUGAACCGCAUGGUUCAAUAGUGAAAGACGGUUUUGCUGUCACUUAUAGAUGGAUCCGCGCCGCAUUAGCUAGUUGGUAAGGUAACGGCUUACCAAGGCAACGAUGCGUAGCCGACCUGAGAGGGUGAUCGGCCACACUGGAACUGAGACACGGUCCAGACUCCUACGGGAGGCAGCAGUAGAGAAUCUUCCGCAAUGGGCGAGAGCCUGACGGAGCAACGCCGCGUGAGUGAUGAAGGUCUUCGGAUCGUAAAACUCUGUUAUUAGGGAAGAACAAAUGUGUAAGUAACUAUGCACGUCUUGACGGUACCUAAUCAGAAGGCCACGGCUAACUACGUG